CCUACGGGUGGCAGCAGUGGGGAAUAUUGCACAAUGGGGGAAACCCUGAUGCAGCGACGCCGCGUGAGUGAAGAAGUAUCUCGGUAUGUAAAGCUCUAUCAGCAGGGACGAUAAUGACGGUACCUGACCAAGAAGCCCCGGCUAACCACGUGCCAGCAGCCGCGGUAAUACGUAGGGGGCAAGCGUUAUCCGGAUUUACUGGGUGGAAAGGGGGCGUAGACGGGUGGACAAGUCUGGAGUGAAAUCCCGGGGCUUAACCCCGGAACUGCUUUGGAAACUGUGCGGCUGGAGUGCAGGAGGGGUAAGCGGAAUUCCUAGUGUAGCGGUGAAAUGCGUAGAUAUUAGGAGGAACACCGGUGGCGAAGGCGGCUUACUGAACUGUAACUGACGUUGAGGCUCGAAAGCGUGGGGAGCAAACAGGAUUAGAUACCCUGGUAGUC
Molecule: ribosomal RNA, 440 nt
Filed under: uncultured bacterium
Lineage: Bacteria
Description: partial 16S ribosomal RNA
Rfam family: Bacterial small subunit ribosomal RNA
Source: RNAcentral